Anastrepha ludens (Mexican fruit fly) is the source of this 580-nucleotide long non-coding RNA. RefSeq lists it as uncharacterized. The record is from RefSeq and is a predicted model, not a curated record. The transcript has 4 exons. Lineage: Eukaryota; Metazoa; Arthropoda; Insecta; Diptera; Tephritidae.
UUUAAAAAAUAAAAUUUUUUGACGUUUUUUUUAAUUUUCUACGAGUUUGAAAUUUUAAGUUAUAUGGCUUUUGUUGCAGUAUAACCAAUAUUUCUAGGUGUAUGUUGGUAUUUUGUGGUCAAUACCUAGAACGCAGUUGUGACAGUGUGAGUCAAUUUACACGAUGACUUUUCACCCUAGGUGUUAGGCAUGCACACACGUGCACUUUGGGCUCGCGCCCAACGAACGAGUGACCAAAGCUAAUUGUCGUUUAAACAUCAAAAACAUGCAAGGAAAACCGAAAACAAAAAGUCCUCGUGUCAAGAAUAAAUGAAGAUGACGAUUGUCUUUCAACGUUUGCCGGCAUUCUUUGCCUGCAGAACUUUGCGUACCAUCAGAGGGCGUCCCCUUGCGAUAUUGAGUACGGUGCUUUGACAAGUCUGUAGCUGCAUUCACUGACUGCCAAAUUGACGCUGUUUAUCUGAAAACUGAUCUUGUAUGUUGUAUUUGUAGAAAACUAGAAUAAUCUGCCGAAUAAUUGGAACUUUGAACUUUUUGUAAAACACACAAGUCAUCAAUGUCAUUAUUACACACUAUCAAA